Molecule: ribosomal RNA, 649 nt
Filed under: uncultured bacterium
Lineage: Bacteria
Description: bacterial SSU rRNA
Rfam family: Bacterial small subunit ribosomal RNA
Source: RNAcentral
AGAGUUUGAUCCUGGCUCAGGAUGAACGCUGGCGGCGUGCCUAAUGCAUGCAAGUCGAGCGACGCAUACCGGAGGGGUAACCCACUGGUAUGACGGAGCGGCGAACGGGUGAGUAACACGUGAGUAACCUGCCCCACAGACCGGGGCAGCCCAGGGAAACCUGGAUUAAUACCGGAUACCCUCGGGGGAUCGCAUGAUCUUUCGAGGAAAUGCCUUUGUGCUGUGGGAUGGACUCGCGACUUAUCAGCUAGUUGGUGGGGUAACGGCCUACCAAGGCGUCGACGAGUAGCUGGUCUGAGAGGACGAUCAGCCACACUGGGACUGAGACACGGCCCAGACUCCUACGGGAGGCAGCAGCAGGGAAUCUUGCGCAAUGGGCGAAAGCCUGACGCAGCAACGCCGCGUGGGGGAUGAAGGCCUUCGGGUUGUAAACCCCUUUCAGGAGGGAAGAAAUUGACGGUACCUCCAAAAGAAGCACCGGCCAACUACGUGCCAGCAGCCGCGGUAAUACGUAGGGUGCGAGCGUUAUCCGGAAUCAUUGGGCGUAAAGAGCUCGUAGGCGGUUCAGCAAGUCGGCUGUGAAAUUUCGAGGCUCAACCUCGAAACUGCAGUCGAAACUGCUGUGACUCGAGUCCGGUAGAGGAGAAUG